CAAAAUUCAAAAGUACGCUGUACGCUGCGCGUGAUGGCUCCGAAGGAAGGCCCUCCCAAAAUUUUAUUUACUGUUGUUGCUUAGCUGAAUUGAAUUGAAUUGAGUUCCCACCACACAGUUGUUUUGGCUGUAGUGGCUGUGGACGACAACGCUCAUGCAAAUGGCGGCCGCACCGGGUUACCGUACUCUGACGUUUCGGCCAGUGUGUAUUCACCUGAUUUAAGUGCAUAUGUGGUGUGUACGUGAAAGUGCCUUGCAAGGCCAAGUCGGGCCGUCGUUCCAACGAGUUGUAUAAUUCGCAGUCUGACACAUGCUAUUUAUUAAAUCUGGUCUGGUCUGGGUAGACACUACUGCAAAGAGCGGUUUAAGAUCCUGGGUUCGAUUCCCGGGAAGACCCCCGGAUUACUCGGGAGAACGAGAUUAAGGCUAGCUGCUGAGAUGUGGAGUUGAGGUCACAGUUGAUGAACCAGAUUCGCACGCUGGGUCGGUGGCGAUUGCCAAACCCUCCGACUCUUCGGAUGUUCGGGUGAAUGAUGAGGAGGGGUCCCUGAAGGCUGGAUCCGCCGCCUUGGACUUACAGUUCGUAUGGCGAAGACAGUGUGGUAGUGGUGGAUGGUGCUUUAAGGUGAUAAAUCGUAGAACUGACAAUGUGAUAAAGUGGCCCAGAAGCCUCCCACUCUG
Molecule: long non-coding RNA, 681 nt
Filed under: Volvox carteri
Lineage: Eukaryota; Viridiplantae; Chlorophyta; Chlorophyceae; Chlamydomonadales; Volvocaceae
Description: long non-coding RNA (VCAR_LNC004080)
Source: RNAcentral